Triticum aestivum (bread wheat) is the source of this 1180-nucleotide long non-coding RNA. RefSeq lists it as uncharacterized. The record is from RefSeq and is a predicted model, not a curated record. The transcript is spliced from 5 exons. NCBI's taxonomy places the organism in Eukaryota, Viridiplantae, Streptophyta, Magnoliopsida, Poales, Poaceae.
CUCUGCUGUCACACGAGGGUGUCGAUUGGACCCUCUCCGCCACCGCCACCGAGCACUGAUAGUCUUCUCCGGCCUCAGUCGACCCGCCCUAUCAUACUAGGACUUUGGAUUCAUCAUCUCAUAGGGCUCUAGUUAUCUGCGUUGAUAGAUUGCUCCGUCUGCAGUAGAGGCAAUGGGGACAUGUAAGUUGAUCAUAACGGUCGAACUUGCUCGUGGCCUGAUUCCCAGGGAUGGUCAUGGCUCUCCCAGCGCCUACGUUGAGCUUUGCUUUGAUGGCCAACGGAUCCGCACAACUAUCAAGGAGAAAGAUCGGAACCUGGCAUGGAAUGAGAGCUUCUGGUUCGACGUGUCGCCAGAUCCAUCUAAUAUUCAUGACCUCGUUCUUGAAGCUAGUGCGUAUAACACCAACGAACCAAUCCAAGGUCGCGGAAAGUAUUUUCUUGGCAUGGUCACACCAAAUGUGGCCUCAUUCCACCGCUUCUAUGAACCCAAACACAGACGACAAGCAGCCCUUUAUCCACUGGAAAGGCGGCGUGGGAUGCCCAUGGUUGGUGUGAGAGGGGAAUUGCUUCUAAAUGGAUACAUCCUUGAUGAGAGCCCCACCAGAGCUCCCAUCCCGUCUUCAGCACCAAUGGGAUUAUGUGUGGAGGUCAUAAAUGCUAAUAACCUCAGGCCAGUGGACUACCCGGUCGUUGUUACUAAAACAUCUUCAAAUGACUUUAUCGACCUUACUCUUAGAACAUGGAAAAAUGUGUUACAGAGAUCACUAGGGUAUGGAUCCCUAGAAACAUACUACGAACAAAUAAAGAGAUGCAUCCAAAUAGGUCCAAUGUGCGUGAACCCUAACCUCUCCAAAAGGCUUCCUAUAAUGAAGGUUAUCCGUAUGCUCCAAGGAUCGGAAAGUAUCAGCUGUGACACUAGCAAUGAGACAACAACAUAGUUGCAAGAUAGAUGCAGAGACCGGGGGUCUUCCUCUUUUUCUAAAAAAAGUGUGGCGAGCUGCUGGAUGACCCUUGUAAGAGACCAUGCAUGGGCAGGCAUUAUCUCGAUCGGCUUCUUCACGAAUAUUCUCGAUUGUGUAGCGUGCUGAAUCGUUUGCAUUGGAUGGUGUAUCUACUGUUGAACUUAAAUAUAACUUAGGACAAUUCCUGUAUUGCACUGCCUGUCCAAAUCUGCAUAA